CAUGCAAGUCGAGCGGAUGAAGAGAGCUUGCUCUCUGAUUCAGCGGCGGACGGGUGAGUAAUGCCUAGGAAUCUGCCUAUUAGUGGGGGACAACGUUUCGAAAGGAACGCUAAUACCGCAUACGUCCUACGGGAGAAAGCAGGGGACCUUCGGGCCUUGCGCUAAUAGAUGAGCCUAGGUCGGAUUAGCUAGUUGGUGGGGUAAUGGCUCACCAAGGCGACGAUCCGUAACUGGUCUGAGAGGAUGAUCAGUCACACUGGAACUGAGACACGGUCCAGACUCCUACGGGAGGCAGCAGUGGGGAAUAUUGGACAAUGGGCGAAAGCCUGAUCCAGCCAUGCCGCGUGUGUGAAGAAGGUCUUCGGAUUGUAAAGCACUUUAAGCUGGGAGGAAGGGCAUUAACCUAAUACGUUAGUGUUUUGACGUUACCGGCAGAAUAAGCACCGGCUAACUCUGUGCCAGCAGCCGCGGUAAUACAGAGGGUGCAAGCGUUAAUCGGAAUUACUGGGCGUAAAGCGCGCGUAGGUGGUUUGUUAAGUUG
Molecule: ribosomal RNA, 541 nt
Filed under: Pseudomonas sp. Z2NS-256
Lineage: Bacteria; Pseudomonadati; Pseudomonadota; Gammaproteobacteria; Pseudomonadales; Pseudomonadaceae
Description: bacterial SSU rRNA
Rfam family: Bacterial small subunit ribosomal RNA
Source: RNAcentral